Molecule: long non-coding RNA, 2449 nt
Organism: Hemicordylus capensis (graceful crag lizard)
Lineage: Eukaryota; Metazoa; Chordata; Lepidosauria; Squamata; Cordylidae
Exons: 4
Source: RefSeq, a predicted model, not a curated record
GGUGUGCUGGGGCCUUGGAGAAAAAGGAUCUCAACAGGGGAGAAGAUUUCUCUGGUGAAAAGAGAAAUGGGGCUUAGGUGGAGGCAGAGGCGAAUCUGUUCUCUACUGGAAAGCCAAGGCCUAUUCAGGGAAGGCUCAAAUGUAGUAACAGCUGUGAAAUUGGUAAUUACUGGGCUAUUCAGAUUUUAAAAGCUGAGAGUAGGAAGGCCUUGAUUUGUUUAGCUCACCCUUCCUCCAAGAAGCUCAUGGUGGUAUAUAGGGUUCUCUCUUUCCAUGUUAUGCUUAUAACAGCUCUGUAAGGAAGGUGCUGGAGGCGGAUGCUCACUUCAGUGACAACGGCAAAGGCAUCAUCUCAUACUGCGUGGGAGGAAGGCAAUGGUAAAUUACAAUGGGGCUGAUUGGAAGGAGACCAGUCCAGGUCAGAACUGCAAAUCAUUGAGAGAGACAAUAUGGACUGUUAUUACUGGCAACAAAGUAGCUGUAUUUAAAACAGAACAACGGACAACAGAAACACAGGGAGAGGACAACAGAAGCAAUUCAUACAUAGUGAGCCUGCUGGCCAAUAGAUGUUGGGUGAUAUCAGAAAGCAGCAGGGCAGCCACUGAAUGAGGAACAGAAUCUGUAAGACGGUUACCUAAGAUGGUGGAUGCGGAGGCUUCAACUGCUCGCGUUGCUGCCGCCACAGCCCAUAGAUAGCGUGGUAAUCCAGUAGCUACAGGGUCAAGAAGGGUGCUGCAAUAGGCAACUGGACGGGGCUGGUCCCCAUGCACCUGGGUAAGGACAGAUUGAGAACAACCUUUGCUUUCAUGACAAUUCAUAGCCUCAAAUUGUGGAAGAAACGAGGCUUCAUUCUCCGUUUGAAUACUUUGUGUUGCUUUUAGUGCAAAGUGUAGCAGCACUUCUUACGUAAGAUGGACCAAAGAGCUUCCCUUGUUCCCACUAUACGAUGCAGGCUUUUGCCUACGGGUGUCUUGAAACAAGGUUGGCACAAAUGGCCCUGAUCUGCAGGUCACAGCCUGCUUUUAUACAGAAAACAGGGAAGUAGAGACACAAUGGAUACAUGCUUCCACACAUGGUCAUACAUUGGUACAGGAAAAUCAACAUUUGACACCUCUGCUAACAAGGUGGGUGCGCAUACCAGAAAAGCCCCUUCUUCUUAAUUCCCCAUAGCCAAGCAAAAUUAUCUUUACUUUCUGCUGAUUUGAGCCUUUUGCUUUCUUGUUCCCCUUUCUUUGUGCUUCUGGAAGCAUUGCAUGUUUCCCAGCAAGCUAGCAGCUUUUGAGGGAUUUCCAUGAUAGGCAAGCAAUUUUUAGGCUUAAGAAGCACUUGACAUUAGGCCCAAAGCUGUUAGUAUCUACCAGCAAGUUGGUAUAUAUAUGUCAAGCCACCACAGUAUUCCCCCUUUUAUACUUCCUGUACAAUAUUCUUCCACAAUUCCAUCAUUUGGUUCCACAAGUUUCUUCCACAAUUUGGUGGUCUGGGAAUUUAUUUGAAAAUGUGGCUAAUGAAACUGCCCUGGCUUGGCAGGACUGAAUGCAGAAAACUCAGCAAUGAGACAGGCAAAAUCGUAUGGCUCUGGACAUAGUGACUGCUGCCCAGGGAGGCGUAUGUGCCUUAAUAGGAGAAGAGUGCUGCAUAUACAUCCCUGACAAUUCGGGGAAUGUCUCUAUGGCCAUAAAGAGAACCCAUGAGGCUGUUGGGAAACUUUACCACCCCUCUGGAGAUGAGAAUUGGAAUUCAUUUUCUUGGUUGUCUUCCUGGUUUGGUUGGUGGGGAAAUACUAUUUUGUUUUGGAUACUAUCUGGUAUUCUCAUUCUUCUUGGGCUUUAUUGUUUAUUCCUCCUAGUGAGCUGUUGUGCUAAGUGUAUUUGAAGCCAAUGUGUUAAAUGUAUGAAAAAAGGGGAACUUGCAGUACUUGAUCAGACCGUAGGCCUCAGGAGCCGGGAGCCGGGAACUACCUAAGUUGCCUUACAAAGCCUUGUGUGGGAAGAGCCAUAUGAGAGUUUAAAGGUGGAAGAAACUGAUCAAAGUGUUUAUGAAGAGGUAUUGACUUCCAUAAAGCCAUUGAUUUAAAGGUCCUCCCCGCCCUUUAAAGUUGCUUUGUUUGUGCAUCCCAUACACAUUCUCUAUAAUGCUUUUUAAAUCAACAGCGUUUUUAUUAUUUUGUUCAUUAAAAACAAAAACAAAACUGAAGUAGCAAGGUAAAAUCUCAAUGACAAGUCAGAGGCAAAUUUCAAUCUGAAUGUUUUCUGAAGUGUAAAAGGAGGCUAAUAAGAGGUUUUGGGCAUGUUUGUGCAGGCACUUCUGCUUCUCAAAAUGCUAAUGGACUGUGUGUCAUCUAUUUGUAAAAUUGUAGAUGCUGCUUACACUGAACAAAAUGUGAUCUGUCCAAUUUUAAGCAGUGGGGGGUGGGUGACUGGUGUCAUUCAAUAAAUAAAAUUAAACAAGG